ACGAACGCUGGCGGCGUGCCUAACACAUGCAAGUCGCACGAGAAAUCCUGGGCAACCGGGAAAGUAAAGUGGCGCACGGGUGAGUAACGCGUGGGUAACCUGCCCUUGAGUUGGGGAUAACCCCGCGAAGGCGGGGCUAAUACCGAAUAAUAUGUCAGUCUCUAUGGGGAUUGAAAUCAAAGGUAGCCUCUGCAUGCAAGCUAUUGCUCAAGGAUGGGCCCGCGUACCAUUAGCUUGUUGGUAGGGUAAUGGCCUACCAAGGCAACGAUGGUUAGCUG
This 278-nucleotide ribosomal RNA is filed under the name uncultured bacterium. Its description in RNAcentral is "partial 16S ribosomal RNA". It matches the Rfam family "Bacterial small subunit ribosomal RNA", at positions 29 to 289 of the family's 1533-position model. The record is from RNAcentral.